This 468-nucleotide ribosomal RNA is filed under the name uncultured bacterium. RNAcentral's name for it is "partial 16S ribosomal RNA". It matches the Rfam family "Bacterial small subunit ribosomal RNA", at positions 28 to 507 of the family's 1533-position model. The record is from RNAcentral.
GACGAACGCUGGCGGCGUGCUUAACACAUGCAAGUCGAACGGAAAGGCCAUGCCUUUGGGGGCUGCUGGAGUGGCGAACGGGUGAGUAACACGUGAGUAACCUGCCCUUGACUUAGGGAGAACUUCAGGACACAGGGGCUAAUACCUGAAAGGAGCUCCUGCUGUUUGGUGGGGGUUGGAAUGAUUCGGCGGUUGGGGAUGGACUCGCGGCCUAUCGGCUUGUUGGUGGGGUAGUGGCUUACCAAGGCCUUGCGGGGUAGCCGGCCUGAGAGGGUGAGCGGCUCCGUUACGCCGGAGCUAGGGCCCAGCCUCGUAUGGUACGCAGCGGAGGAGAAUAGUGCACAAUGAGGUGGGGCCAGAUGGAGGGAGGCAGUGUGCGGGAUGACGUGCUUGGGGUUGUGAACCAAUUCUGUCUGAGCCGAAACGAGAGUGACGGUACUGGGAAAAGAAGCACCGGCUAACUACGUG